This 751-nucleotide ribosomal RNA is filed under the name uncultured Actinomyces sp. Its description in RNAcentral is "bacterial SSU rRNA". It matches the Rfam family "Bacterial small subunit ribosomal RNA", at positions 28 to 776 of the family's 1533-position model. Lineage: Bacteria; Bacillati; Actinomycetota; Actinomycetes; Actinomycetales; Actinomycetaceae. The record is from RNAcentral.
GACGAACGCUGGCGGCGUGCUUAACACAUGCAAGUCGAACGCUGAAGCCUAGCUUGCUGGGUGGAUGAGUGGCGAACGGGUGAGUAACACGUGAGUAACCUGCCCUCUUCUUUGGGAUAACGCCCGGAAACGGGUGCUAAUACUGGAUAUUCACUGAUCUUCGCAUGGGGGUUGGUGGAAAGGUUUUUUCUGGUGGGGGAUGGGCUCGCGGCCUAUCAGCUUGUUGGUGGGGUGAUGGCCUACCAAGGCUUUGACGGGUAGCCGGCCUGAGAGGGUGACCGGUCACAUUGGGACUGGGAUACGGCCCAGACUCCUACGGGAGGCAGCAGUGGGGAAUAUUGCACAAUGGGCGAAAGCCUGAUGCAGCGACGCCGCGUGAGGGAUGGAGGCCUUCGGGUUGUAAACCUCUUUCGCUCAUGGUCAAGCCGCAACUUAGGGUUGUGGUGAGGGUAGUGGGUAAAGAAGCGCCGGCUAACUACGUGCCAGCAGCCGCGGUAAUACGUAGGGCGCGAGCGUUGUCCGGAAUUAUUGGGCGUAAAGGGCUUGUAGGCGGUUGGUCGCGUCUGCCGUGAAAUCCUCUGGCUUAACUGGGGGCGUGCGGUGGGUACGGGCUGACUUGAGUGCGGUAGGGGAGACUGGAACUCCUGGUGUAGCGGUGGAAUGCGCAGAUAUCAGGAAGAACACCGGUGGCGAAGGCGGGUCUCUGGGCCGUUACUGACGCUGAGGAGCGAAAGCGUGGGGAGCGAACAGG